CACAGUGUAGCAAUACAUGGGUGGCGACCGGCAAACGGGUGCGGAACACGUACGCAACCUUCCUUCAGGCGGGGAAUAGCCCAGAGAAAUUUGGAUUAAUACCCCAUAAUAUUUUGAGAUGGCAUCAUCUUAUUAUUAAAGCUACGGCACCUGGAGAUGGGCGUGCGGCUGAUUAGGUAGUUGGCGGGGUAAUGGCCCACCAAGCCUACGAUCAGUAGCUGAUGUGAGAGCAUGAUCAGCCACACGGGCACUGAGACACGGGCCCGACUCCUACGGGAGGCAGCAGUAAGGAAUAUUGGUCAAUGGACGCAAGUCUGAACCAGCCAUGCCGCGUGGAGGAUGAAGGUCCUCUGGAUUGUAAACUUCUUUUAUCUGGGACGAAAAAAGGGUUUUCUAACUCGUCUGACGGUACCAGAUGAAUAAGCACCGGCUAACUCCGUGCCAGCAGCCGCGGUAAUACGGAGGGUGCAAGCGUUAUCCGGAUUCACUGGGUUUAAAGGGUGCGUAGGCGGGCAUUUAAGUCAGUGGUGAAAUACCUGAGCUUAACUUGGGAACUGCCAUUGAUACUAUUUGUCUUGAAUGUCGUGGAGGUUAGCGGAAUAUGUCAUGUAGCGGUGAAAUGCUUAGAUAUGACAUAGAACACCUAUUCCGAAGGCAGCUAACUACGCGAAUAUUGACGCUGAGGCACGAAAGCGUGGGGAUCAAACAGGAUUAGAUACCCUGGUAGUCCACGCCCUAAACGAUGAUUACUCGACAUUAGCGAUACACUGUUAGUGUCUGAGCG
RNAcentral lists this ribosomal RNA (784 nucleotides) under uncultured bacterium. Its description in RNAcentral is "SSU rRNA". It matches the Rfam family "Bacterial small subunit ribosomal RNA", at positions 70 to 853 of the family's 1533-position model. The record is from RNAcentral.